Molecule: ribosomal RNA, 448 nt
Filed under: uncultured bacterium
Lineage: Bacteria
Description: bacterial SSU rRNA
Rfam family: Bacterial small subunit ribosomal RNA
Source: RNAcentral
AACGAACGCUGGCGGCAGGCCUAACACAUGCAAGUCGAGCGCCCUGCAAGGGGAGCGGCGGACGGGUGAGUAACGCGUGGGAAUUUUUCCUGGAGUACGGAACAACCGAGGGAAACUUCGGCUAAUACCGUAUGAUGCCGAGAGGCCAAAGAUUUAUCGCUCUGGGGUGAGCCCGCGUCAGAUUAGGUAGUUGGUGGGGUAAAGGCCUACCAAGCCUGCGAUCUGUAGCUGGUCUGAGAGGACGAUCAGCCACACUGGGACUGAGACACGGCCCAGACUCCUACGGGAGGCAGCAGUGGGGAAUCUUGCGCAAUGGGCGAAAGCCUGACGCAGCCAUGCCGCGUGAGUGAAGAAGGUCUUAGGAUUGUAAAGCUCUUUCGCCCGUGACGAUGAUGACGGUAACGGGAGAAGAAGCCCCGGCUAACUUCGUGCCAGCCGCCGCGGUAAC